Molecule: long non-coding RNA, 411 nt
Organism: Rana temporaria (common frog)
Lineage: Eukaryota; Metazoa; Chordata; Amphibia; Anura; Ranidae
Exons: 3
Source: RefSeq, a predicted model, not a curated record
GUAAUUACCUGGAGUUAUGACACCUGGUAAGCACACACUUAUAUAGACAGCUUGGACUCAUCAAGCUAGUCUGUGAUCCCAUCUUCACAUGCUAGGACUGGAUACACCACGCUUUGGACCAACAAACUUUCCCUUGUGGACACGUUUAACCGUGUCUUAUCUGGAGACUAUUCCUACAACUAAUAUCAUACUAACCAACAAGUUAUGCACCCCAAACUCCUCAGAAGAAGACCCUCAUAGGGGUUGAAACGCAUCAGGAAUCAUUUUGACUUGAAUAUUAACCAAUUAUGUUAAUUGAUGUCAUAUAUGUUGGUGCAACACUCUGUGUAUACAGUUUUAAUAUAAACCAGACCAGAACUUAUUGUUUUAUAUUUCCUCAUUAAUUAAACAAUUUCCCACCUUUUUACAUAA